GGUGGUUGAGGAUGACGAGUAUCACGUUAGCUUUAAACUACCAUAGCUGGUUGUCUAGUCCAUUGUUGUGUUUGGGUCUUGUUUGAUUUGAUUUUGAUUGCAUCUCUUUUAACUCUAUUGUAAAUUUGUGUAGUCUACCUCGGUACGCCUUGUGCUGGGGAGACUGAUUGUGUUAAUAUAUUCCAUUUUAGUUUCUUCAAAAAAAAAA
Molecule: long non-coding RNA, 208 nt
Filed under: Trifolium pratense (red clover)
Lineage: Eukaryota; Viridiplantae; Streptophyta; Magnoliopsida; Fabales; Fabaceae
Description: long non-coding RNA (TPRA_LNC009524)
Source: RNAcentral